This 262-nucleotide ribosomal RNA is filed under the name uncultured archaeon. Its description in RNAcentral is "partial 16S ribosomal RNA". It matches the Rfam family "Archaeal small subunit ribosomal RNA", at positions 748 to 1008 of the family's 1478-position model. The record is from RNAcentral.
CAGCCCUAAACGAUGCGCGUUAGGUGUAUCGGUGACCACGAGUUACCGAGGUGCCGAAGGGAAACCGUGAAACGUGCCGCCUGGGAAGUACGGUCGCAAGGCUGAAACUUAAAGGAAUUGGCGGGGGAGCACAACAACGGGUGGAGCCUGCGGUUUAAUUGGACUCAACGCCGGACAACUCACCGGGGGACGACAGCAAUGUGUAGGCCAGGCUGAAGACCUUGCCUGAAUCGCUGAGAGGAGGUGCAUGGCGUCAGUGACU